Zea mays is the source of this 4182-nucleotide RNA transcript. RefSeq lists it as uncharacterized. The record is from RefSeq and is marked validated. The transcript is spliced from 10 exons. NCBI's taxonomy places the organism in Eukaryota, Viridiplantae, Streptophyta, Magnoliopsida, Poales, Poaceae.
GGGGCGGUUCGUUUGAAAGUCAGCAGCGACAAAUGCGACGCGGGGUGGACUCGCCCCGUCUCCUCCUUCCGCACCCCCCUUUUCCCUCCAUCCAAUCCAGGCCUUCAUUGCCUGAGCCGAACCUCCCAUCCACCACCUCCUCCCUCCGCCGCCCCUGGACCUCCCUCCCAGCGAGUCAAUCGCCCACAACACACGCGGUUCGUUCUUACUGGUUUCCAGGAGGGAGGUGUUUUUUUCCCAUUUUCUUUGUGUGUGUUUGCGCUGCUGCCUUCUUAUCAAGUCUUCUUGCACGUCCUUCUCUUCUCUCCCGGAUUCAUGCUUGGCGAUAUUUAGACUGUUUUCGUCUGAGAUUCUUUCUGCCUCCUGCGUUCUUGGUCCCCGGCCAGCAGUCGGCAAUAUCGCUCUGUCGAUCCUCCUGAUACUUCGUCUUCCAUUGGUUUUUUAAUCCCAUGUGAGCAGCAGCAGUAAGAAGAGGAUCUGAUUCGAUCGGAGGAGACCUAGUGACGCCGCCAAAUCGAAUCGAAUUUCUUGGCAACAGCAACAGUAACAAAAACUAGAUUCUGGAUUCGUCCCAUUUUUUGCACUAGGGAAAUAAAAUGAGGCUGGUGGUACGCGUCAUCGAGGCGCGGGGCCUCCCGCCCACGGACGCAGACGGGACGCGGGACCCCUACGCCAAGGCGCAGCUCGGGAAGCAGCGGGCCAAGACCAAGGUGAUGCGCAAGACGCUCUGCCCCGCCUGGGACGAGGAGUUCGCCUUCCGGGUCGGGGACCUCAGGGACAACCUCCUCGUCUCCGUGUUCCACGAGGACCGCUACUUCGCCGCCGACGUCCUCGGCCAGGUCAAGUUGCCCCUCACCGCCGUGCUCGACGCCGACAACCGCACGCUCGGAACGCAGUGGUACCAACUGCAGCCCAAGAGCAAGAAGUCCAAGCUCAAGGAUUGCGGAGAAAUUCGUCUCAACGUUUCUCUGGCUCAAAACUACUCUGAAGAAGAGACGACGGCACCUGCACAUUGGGCCUCAGAUGACCUUGCAUCAAAUUCAGACAAAUCAACUGAAUUGGUGAAAGGAUCUUCUUUGCUGAAUGUUCCUAUUGAAGUAUCCACAGCAGUACCAGAGAUCUAUGAGAUAGAAGCUGCCGAGGAGGAUAAAUCAAACGCUGCUCCAUCAUUUGUCAACAAGCUAUAUCAAAUGUUUAAUAGUAAACCAAAAGAUACAGAAGCUUCUGCCCCACUUCCCUCCAAGCUGAACGACCCUUCAGAUAUUGCCGAAGAAACACUGUCAACCAGCUCUGAAGCUCCUGAGAAGCAGGAUCAUGAUGUCAGUGCAACUAUGACCUUUGAUGAGCUACUAAAGGCCUUCGGUUCUCAGCAUGAAGGGAAAGAAAUGCCUGAAAAUUUGUCUGGUGGAGUUGUUCUUGAUCAAGUUUAUGCUGUUGCACCGAGUGACCUGAACACACUUCUUUUCUCUCCAAGUUCAGACUUUCUGCAGUCACUUGCGGAGAUUCAAGGAACUACAGGUCUUGAAAUUCAACAAUGGCGACUUGAAAAUGACGGUGAAAUCCUGAGGAGGGUGGUAAGCUACACAAAAGCUCCUACCAAACUAGUUAAGGCCGUGAAAGCAACAGAGGACAUGACAUAUUUGAAGGCAGAUGGAGAGAUGUUUGCAGUUUUUGCAGAUGUUAGUACUCCUGAAGUUCCUUUUGGCAAUACUUUCAGAGUGGAGGUUUUGACCUGUAUAAUGCCAGGACCUGAACUACGAGGUGACGAAAAAUCUUCACGUCUUAUGGUCUCUUGGCACAUAAAUUUUGUCCAAAGUACCAUGAUGAAGAGCAUGAUUGAAAAUGGAGCCAAACAAGGCUUGAAGGAUAACUAUGUUCAGUUCUCUGAGCUGCUGGCUAAACAUUGUAGGCCAGUUGAUACAAAAGAUACAACUAGCAGUAAUGAAGUGCUUUCUUCUGUGCAACCAGAGCAAGAAUCUGACUGGAAGCUAGCUUUUCGAAUAUUUGGAAAUUUCGCACUUUUGUCCUCAGUUUUUGCAUUUUUUUAUGUUUCUGCACACAUCAUCCUUGCAAGCCCUAGUAUAAUUCAAGGUCUUGAGUUCCCGGGCCUGGACCUGCCAGAUUCUGCUGGUGAAGUUGUAGUUUGUGGAGUUCUUGUUCUACAAGGACAGCGUGUGCUAAAUAUGAUUGCACGAUUUAUCCAGGCGAAGAGGCAGAGAGGUGAUCAUGGAGUCAAAGCACAAGGGGAUGGCUGGUUGCUGACUGUUGCUCUGAUGGAGGGAACCAACUUGGCAGCAACCAAAUCAUCUGGUUACUCUGAUCCAUAUGUUGUAUUUACAUGCAAUGGGAAGACAAAGACAAGUUCGAUUAACUUUCACACCCUUGACCCUCAGUGGAAUGAAAUUUUUGAAUUUGACGCCAUGGAAGAUCCUCCAUCAGUGAUGAAAAUACAUGUGUAUGAUUUCGAUGGACCCUUUGACGAAGUUGCAUCCCUUGGUCAUGCUGAAGUGAAUUUCUUGAAAUAUAAUAAUAUAUCCGAGCUUGCUGACAUUUGGAUUCCUUUGAAAGGAAAGCUGGCUCAAGCAUGCCAGUCAAAAUUGCAUCUAAGAAUCUUCUUAAACAAUACAAGGGGUACUGAAGUCGUGAAGGAUUACCUGGAUAAAGUGGAGAAAGAAGUUGGCAAAAAGAUUGCUAUGAGGUCUCCUCACACAAACUUAGCAUUCCAGAAAAUCUUUUCUUUGCCACCAGAAGAAUUUCUUAUCAAUGAUUUUACUUGUCACUUAAAGAGGAAAAUGCUAACACAGGGUCGUAUUUUUCUAUCUCCAAGAAUAUUUGGGUUUUACACAAAUCUUUUUGGCCACAAAACAAAAUUCUUCUUUCUUUGGGAAGAUAUUGAAGACAUCCUACUGGUCCCUGCAACCCUGUCUUCCAUGGGAAGUCCGUCUCUGGUUAUUAUUCUUCGAAAGGACAGAGGAAUGGAUGCAAAGCAUGGAGCAAAGCAACUGGACAGUCAAGGGAGACUAAAGUUCCAUUUCCAGUCUUUUGUUUCAUUCAAUGUGGCACAUAAAACAAUUACAGCACUGUGGAAGGCAAGGUCCUUAACCCCUGAACAAAAGGUACAGCUUGUAGAAGAGGAAUCAGAAACAGAAGACUUCCAAAAUGAGGAGGGAGAAUCUUUGUUAGGGAUAGAGGAUGCCAAAAUGUCAGGAGUUUUUUCAUGUACAAAACCUUUUGAUGUAUCAACACUAAUGGGCAUAUUUGAGGGUGGUCCUUUGGAGUGCCGGGUGAUGGAGAAAGUUGGCUGUAUGGACUACUCUGUUACAGCAUGGGAACCUGUCAGAGCUGAUAUUUACCAGAGGCAAGUUCAUUAUAAGUUUGACAAGAAAUCAGCACGGCACGGAGGAGAAGCAAUGAGCACCCAGCAAAAGUCCCCUUUGUCUAAUAAGAAUGGCUGGCUUGUUGAAGAAGUGAUGACACUUGAAGGUAUCCCUGUUGGCGAAUGUUUCAAUGGGGGCACAACUCUUCGGUGAUGUGCGAGGAGCGGCAGAAUUCUGUUGCUCGGGUGGGGAGUGCGGCGUCCCCCCCAACCAUGAUGGAGGUGGAUGGCUCAAAUUUGUCGGCCAACACUGCUGCUCUUGAACCAUCUCUGCUUCUUUCUGAGCUUGUGCAGCAUUUUGAUCAACCACUGUCCAAAGGAAAGAUUGAGGCCAUCAAGAACCUGCUGGAAAAUGGGAAGCAGUUGAAGAAGAAGGCCAGGGGCACCAAAGUCGCGCCAGCUGUUCUGGCUUGCCCAUCUGCGCUGGGCUAAUGUUGGAGCUGGCUCAUUAGGGUCGUCUUCCUAUAUUUAUCCAUGUUACAGUCUGCUGGAGUGUUGAUAAUGGUUAUGUGUCAGGGUCUGUUCCCUUUUGGUAGUUUUAAAACUAGGCCUUCCUACAAGUGUGUGGAACGUAGUAAGGUGUCAGCUUGGGGGGAGCAAAAUCAGUUUCUCCCUCCCUUCCUGUCUUGUUUCUGUCCCUGGCUUUGUACUUGGUCUUCUGCGGCCAGCCUCAUGGGAAUUGGGUCAGUCUCUUUGGCCUUGUUGAUGUUGGUGGAUUUUUUUUCUUUAAAUGUCGCAAUCAAAUUGUAAGGUGCUAUGCUGGAAUGUGAGAGCUCUAAAUGACGCUGCCAAGCGGGCGAGUGUAC